AGCUCCAAUAGCGUAUAUUAAAGUUGUUGCGGUUAAAAAGCUCGUAGUUGGAUUUCUGUCGAAGACGGCCGGUCCGUUCUAUGAACGUGCAUCUGGUUCGGCUUUGGCAUCCUCGUGGAGAACGUAGCUGUGCUUCGUUGCAUGGCACGGUAUGCGCGACUUUUACUUUGAGGAAAUUAGAGUGUUCACGGCAGGCAAGCGCCUUGAAUAUAUUAGCAUGGAAUAAUAACAUAGGACUUCGGUUUUAUUUUGUUGGUUUCUAGAACUGAAGUAAUGAUUAAUAGGGAUAAUUGGGGGCAUUUGUAUUAACGCGUCAGAGGUGGAAUUCUUGGAUUUGUUAAAGACGGACUACUGCGAAAGCAUUUGCC
RNAcentral lists this ribosomal RNA (368 nucleotides) under uncultured eukaryote. RNAcentral describes it as "SSU rRNA". It matches the Rfam family "Eukaryotic small subunit ribosomal RNA", at positions 587 to 959 of the family's 1831-position model. The record is from RNAcentral.